RNAcentral lists this ribosomal RNA (404 nucleotides) under Verrucomicrobiota bacterium. RNAcentral describes it as "Verrucomicrobia bacterium partial 16S ribosomal RNA". It matches the Rfam family "Bacterial small subunit ribosomal RNA", at positions 355 to 776 of the family's 1533-position model. The record is from RNAcentral. Lineage: Bacteria; Pseudomonadati; Verrucomicrobiota.
UGGGGAAUAUUGCACAAUGGGCGCAAGCCUGAUGCAGCAACGCCGCGUGAACGAUGAAGGUCUUCGGAUCGUAAAGUUCUGUUGCAGGGGAAGAUAAUGACGGUACCUAACCAGAAAGCCACGGCUAACUACGUGCCAGCAGCCGCGGUAAUACGUAGGUGGCAAGCGUUGUCCGGAAUUAUUGGGCGUAAAGCGCGCGCAGGUGGUUUAGAAAGUCUGAUGUGAAAGCCCACGGCUCAACCGUGGAGGGUUAUUGGAAACUAAUAAACUUGAGUGCAGGAGAGAAAAGUGGAAUUCCUAGUGUAGCGGUGAAAUGCGUAGAGAUUAGGAGGAACACCGGUGGCGAAAGCGGCUUUUUGGCCUGCAACUGACACUGAGGCGCGAAAGCGUGGGGAGCAAACAGG